This 253-nucleotide ribosomal RNA is filed under the name uncultured bacterium. RNAcentral's name for it is "partial 16S ribosomal RNA". It matches the Rfam family "Bacterial small subunit ribosomal RNA", at positions 524 to 776 of the family's 1533-position model. The record is from RNAcentral.
UACAGAGGUCUCAAGCGUUGUUCGGAUUCAUUGGGCGUAAAGGGUGCGUAGGCGGCGCGGUAAGUCGGGUGUGAAAGCCCUGGGCUCAACCUAGGAAGUGCAUUCGAAACUCCCGAGCUGGAGUCCUGGAGAGGAAGGCGGAAUUCCCGGUGUAGAGGUGAAAUUCGUAGAUAUCGAGAGGAACACCGGUGGCGAAGGCGGCCUUCUGGACAGUGACUGACGCUGAGACGCGAAAGCGUGGGGAGCAAACAGG